AUACAUCUAGAUCCAUACCCCUAAACUCCCUAGAUGUUAUUGGAUAGCGAUCGCUCGCUGUCCUUUUUUU
RNAcentral lists this small RNA (70 nucleotides) under Heyndrickxia oleronia. Its description in RNAcentral is "Bacillus oleronius Listeria sRNA sbrA". It matches the Rfam family "Listeria sRNA sbrA". Lineage: Bacteria; Bacillati; Bacillota; Bacilli; Caryophanales; Bacillaceae. The record is from Rfam by way of RNAcentral.